Molecule: transfer RNA, 85 nt
Filed under: Sneathiella chinensis
Lineage: Bacteria; Pseudomonadati; Pseudomonadota; Alphaproteobacteria; Sneathiellales; Sneathiellaceae
Description: tRNA-Leu
Rfam family: tRNA
About the family: Transfer RNA (tRNA) molecules are approximately 80 nucleotides in length. Their secondary structure includes four short double-helical elements and three loops (D, anti-codon, and T loops).
Source: RNAcentral
GCGGGUAUGGCGGAACUGGUAGACGCGCCAGAUUUAGGUUCUGGUGCCGAGAGGCGUGGGGGUUCGACUCCCUCUACCCGCACCA